Molecule: long non-coding RNA, 433 nt
Filed under: Bos taurus (domestic cattle)
Lineage: Eukaryota; Metazoa; Chordata; Mammalia; Artiodactyla; Bovidae
Description: long non-coding RNA NONBTAT020322
Source: RNAcentral
CUCAGUGAUUUAAAUGCAUCUUGUACUUUCUGAAGUUGGCAUCAGUCCCUGCCCGGUGUGCGCACUCCUUUGCUGCUGUGUACAGAGGCUGGCUGCUGCUGGGCAGGUUGUCGGGUCACACGGUAGAAGUCCCUGUUCUCAGGCUCCAGCUCCGCCUCUAGCCCAGCCUGGUUAUUUGUGUCCCAGGCUGUGUGUCCUCUCCGCCUGCCUCUGAGUGUGGUGUUCACUGUAGCUUACAUCCUGCUGGACUUAAACAGGAACUGCAUUCACAUGUUAUUUUAUGGGCCCUUGGCUGUUCUAAGGUAUCUUCUGCACACUUCAACAGCUUUUUGUACUCAUACUACAGUUUGGCUAAGGAAAAUUGGAGUUCCCUAGUUUAUCCUUUACAUGCCAAGAUAUGGGAGAAAAUUACUGUUUCCUCAUAUCAACCGUC